This 497-nucleotide ribosomal RNA is filed under the name uncultured bacterium. RNAcentral describes it as "partial 16S ribosomal RNA". It matches the Rfam family "Bacterial small subunit ribosomal RNA", at positions 28 to 507 of the family's 1533-position model. The record is from RNAcentral.
GAUGAACGCUGGCGGCGUGCCUAAUACAUGCAAGUCGAGCGAACGGACGAGAAGCUUGCUUCUCUGAUGUUAGCGGCGGACGGGUGAGUAACACGUGGAUAACCUACCUAUAAGACUGGGAUAACUUCGGGAAACCGGAGCUAAUACCGGAUAAUAUUUUGAACCGCAUGGUUCAAAAGUGAAAGACGGUCUUGCUGUCACUUAUAGAUGGAUCCGCGCUGCAUUAGCUAGUUGGUAAGGUAACGGCUUACCAAGGCAACGAUGCAUAGCCGACCUGAGAGGGUGAUCGGCCACACUGGAACUGAGACACGGUCCAGACUCCUAAGGGAGGCAGCAGUAGGGAAUCUUCCGCAAUGGGCGAAAGCCUGACGGAGCAACGCCGCGGGAGUGAUGAAGGUCUUCGGAUCGUAAAACUCUGUUAUUAGGGAAGAACAUAUGUGUAAGUAACUGUGCACAUCUUGACGGUACCUAAUCAGAAAGCCACGGCUAACUACGUG